Molecule: non-coding RNA, 2387 nt
Organism: Nerophis lumbriciformis (worm pipefish)
Lineage: Eukaryota; Metazoa; Chordata; Actinopteri; Syngnathiformes; Syngnathidae
Source: RefSeq, a predicted model, not a curated record
AAUUGGGGGUGGGGCGUUCACGGCCAGUCUGUAAAUGUCAGCACAGCACGCAGCCGCGCGACGUUAUCCUCCGUCAACAAUGUUUGAAUAAUUCCACGCCAAGAGUACUUCACGGCGCCAUCAUGGCCGAGGAGCACCGCCAAGAAAACGAGCCGAGUGAGACUCCUUUUAGCUUCGGAGACGAUCUGGAGCUGAACCAGUUUGACGGAUUGCCCUUUUCCUCGCGUUACUACCAACUCCUCCGGGAGAGGAAGACUCUGCAGGUGUGGGGGGCGAGGAGGCAGUUGGAGGACGCGCUUGUGACGCGGCAGGUGGUGGUGGUGUCUGGACCCGCCCGGACCGGGAGGAGCACACAGAUCCCUCAGUGGUGUGCGGAGCUCUGCCUGUCCGCCAAGUAUCGCCACGGCACGGUGGUUUGCACGCAGACCAGCGGGCACAGAGCCGUGGACUUGGCCCUGCGCGUCGCCGACGAAAUGGACGUGAACGUCGGCCACGAAGUCGGUUACAGCGUCCGGCUGGAGGCGUGCUGCUGCUCCGAUACUGUUCUCAGAUUUUCCACCGAUGACAUGUUGCUAAGAGAGAUGAUGUCCGACCCUUUCUUGGAGAACUACGCCAUCAUCGUCAUCGAUCAGGCCCACCAGAGGACCGUCAGCACCGGCCUGCUGCUGGGUCUCCUGAAGGCCGUCUUGGUCCACAGACCCGAGCUCAGAGUCGUGGUCCUGGCCGCCCCGCCCUUCACCGACGACUUCCUGACCCACUUCCCAGGUGCGCCGCUCAUCAAGCUGGAGUGCCGGCGUCAGCCCCAGGUGAUCCACUGCAGCGGCGCCGACAAGGACUACUUCUACGCCGCACUCAGGCUGGUUCUGGAGAUCCACCGGACCAACGAGGACGGAGACGUCAUGGUCUUCUUGGCUUCCGAGGAUGAGGUGCUCCGCGCUCACAGCAUCCUGCAGAAAGAAGGAACCAGGCUGGGAGGAGAACUGGGUCACAUGGUUCCUGUGGCCAUGUGCCCCAGCCAGGGAGGACUUCCUGUCCCGCCUCCUUCGGAUGAGCGAGGACACGCCCGCAAUUCACGGAGGGUUUUCCUGGCGACGCAACAGGCGGAGGACUGGUGGCGGCCGAUGGAGUCGGUGCACUUUGUCAUCGACGCAGGAGUCCAGAAGAAAAUGGUUUACAAUCCGAGAAUACGAGCCAACGCCGAGGUGCUGCAGUCCAUCAGUUGUUGUCAGGCGGAGCUGCGCAAGGAUCUGUGUGGACCGGCAGGUACUGUCUGUCACGCUAACUCCUAUCUCGGACCACCAGGUCCUGAUUGUCCCGUGUCUUUCCCAGGUAAAUGUUUCCGUUUAUACGCCGACGACGGGCAGCUUCCCACGCAGAGGUCGCCUCAGAUCCUGGAGUCCAACAUCACGUCCACGGUUCUCUUCCUCAAAAGGAUGGAGAUCGGAGGUCUGGGACAGUGCGAGUUCAUCCACAGACCAGAUCCUGAGGGUCUCAUGCAGGCUCUGGAGGAACUGGACUAUCUGGCCGCCUUGGACGACGACGGCAACCUCUCGGAGAUGGGCAUCAUCAUGUCGGAGAUCCCCCUGGAGCCUCAGAUGGCCAAAGCCGUGCUGGCGUCCUGCGAGUUCGACUGCGUGAGCGAGAUGCUGACCGUCGCCGCCAUGCUUUCAGCUCCGAGCUGCUUCCUCGAGCCGCCGUCUUCCGUGACCCACGAGGCCGUGCAGUGUCGCAGAAAGUUCCAGCACCCCGAGGGCGACCACUUCACCCUCAUCAACGUGUACAACGCCUUCAAGAGAAGCCAGAGGGCGCCAUACGUCAGCGCAGAAAAGUGGUGCCGGGAUCAUUUUCUGGAUCAUUCCGCCCUCGAGAUGGCCGAGCAGGUGCGGUCGGAGCUGAUGGACACCCUGAACAGGAUCGAGCUCCCCGUCUCGGAGGCAGCGUUCGGCACCAGGGGCAACGCGUCCAACCUGAAGCGAGCGCUGCUGGCGGGCUUCUUCAUGCAGAUCGCCCGGGACGUGGACGGCUCGGGGAACUACUUCAUCCUGGCUCACAAGCACCUGGCCCAGGUGCAGCCCACAUCCGCCUACGGCCCGCAGUCCAGCAAGCUGGGGGUGCCCGAGUGGGUGGUCUUCCACGAGUACACGCUGUCGGACAAUAACUGCAUGAGGAUAGUGUCGGAGAUUUCACCUCAAGUGUGAGUAUUCCCUCUGUUUAGGAUCUUUGUUGUGGUUGUACUCUCACUGGACACUUCAUUAGGUACACCUGCACCAUCUUAGGCUGAUCUAAAAUUCUGCCAUACAAAGAAAAUCUGUAUAAAAUCACAGGUUAUUACUCCAUACUUGCCAACCCUCCCGGAUUUUCCGGGAGACUCCCGAAAUUCAGCGCCU